Molecule: long non-coding RNA, 2443 nt
Filed under: Brassica napus (rape)
Lineage: Eukaryota; Viridiplantae; Streptophyta; Magnoliopsida; Brassicales; Brassicaceae
Description: long non-coding RNA (BNAP_LNC004939)
Source: RNAcentral
AAGAACAAAAAAAAAGAAAUGGAACGCACACUGAUCUCAUCGUCGCCAUUCAGGUUCCACCCUUUGACGACGUCACACAGAAUCGCCACCAUAACUAAGAGGAGAAAACAAACCACCGUGUGUUGCGACUACUACUACCAAGGAGGACGAGUGGUGGACGAGAACAUGGUGGUUCUUAGGAAACGGAUCCAUGAGAUGAAGAUGGUUGAACGAAACUACGAACCUCCUUCCCACUGGAUGCAGUGGGAGAAACGUUUCUACUGCAGCUACGACGCUACUAUAUGUGACGCUCUCUGUAUCCUCCAGACUUUCCUCAUGAACUCUCGUCCCAGCGUGGCGUUUGGAACAUUGUUUCUCAUCUUUGUCAGCGUUCCCGUCUCCACUGCUUUCUUUGCGUUUCGCAUCUUUGACAUUGUUCUUUGGCUUAUGAGUGCCAUUCACGCAGGAUGAUCGUGUAUAGUGCGUUAAUAUAUGUGUUUAUAUUUUCUUAUAGUUUAUUGUAUCGUUACCUAAGAUAACAAGAAUCCUAUUUUUGAUAUGGUUUGGGGAAACAGAGUAGUAGAUAUAUAAAAGAGAAAGAUCAAAAGAGUGAUAUAUAUAAGAGAUCAUAGACAAUACGGAGACUAAUGUUUCAAGAGAGUAACCAAUUGAUUUUGUAUAUUAUAUUAUCCAUUAAAUUCAAAUAAGCUUCUAGAAUAUGUUUCCAAACGAACAACUUCAACCAAAUAUUUCUGUUUCAUAUUUUGACUUUGUUAAAUUCUUUGUAUUCCUCUCUAUCCAUUCAUAGAUGCUUCUCUCCUCACUUUGGCUUUUUUUUUACAAGGCUGAUCAACCUGUGCCCAUAAAAAGUCAAUGUUAAAGCCACACAUAUAUAGUCUUGCAUGCAUAUACGAUCUUGAAAACUUGAAGUACAUCUUUUGACGAAUCCGGCCACAAGAUGUCAGAGAAGUCUUCCUCAUGGACAUGGAAAUGGAGAAAUUAUUUUGAUCUUCACACAGUGUGUUUUGUAGUGAUCUCACAUUGUAGAUGUGAGUGGUGCCACUCUGAGGCUUCCAGGGGUUGUGGAGCAUGGGUUUCUGGACAUGCUUCCAUUGUGAAGGUAAGCUUAAUGUUAAUAUCAUCAACAAAGAGUUGGUUUAGUUUUUACUUAAGUUUUGGUUACAAAAUAUGUACAAAUCAGGUAUUUUAAAACUGAAGAACAGAUUUUACUCAUGUUUUGGUUAUAAAAUAGGUAAAAAUCAGGUACUUUUAAACCGAAAAACCGAUUGGGACCCGAACCCGAAAGUAUAUUGGAUUGUACCGGUUCUUUGAAGAUUUACUAACCCCGACCCGAAUCCGAUAGAACCCGAACCGGUCAUGAACCGAACUUUCAUAUAAUCUGAAUGGGGUUGAUUUUGAUAAAUCCGAAAAAUCGAACCCGAUUGGAUAAAACCGAAACCCGUUUGGGACCCCGAAUGCCCAGGCCUAGUUACCUGCUGGUGAUUUCUCUCGAACAUUGAUCAUCAAGAAGCACGAUUCAUCCUCUUCUCUAUUAUUUCUUAACUCAAUGGCUGCUGGCUGCUCCUACAAUAAAAUAUGACCAUGAUUAUGUUAAUCAUUAGGGAGCAAGCGUCUCGUACGUUAAAAAUUACAUAAACAAAUUAGAGGUCAAUAGUCAUAUAAUUAUUGGUUCUUGAUGCAAUUAAUAAUGAAGAACGAUAUAGACAUAUAGUUCCAAAUUAACUUCGAUCAUCCUUUUCUCUUCUUCGGAGCUUCAUGUGUGUUUGAUGUAUACGUGACUAUAAUCUUGAAUGUCCGACCGUGUCCUCAAAUUUGUAAAAGACGUGUACCUGAUGAAAUCGAUAAGUGAAACUGGCAGGAACAUGAGAAAUGUGGUCCUAUCAAUACUACAAUAAGGCAACGCGUAAAAUCAUUUUUAUUUCUUAAAGCCAAAGUAAUCUUUGUCCGUUUUAUAUCAAAACAAAAAAAAAUUUAUUCGAAAACUUCCCUUAUAAAUAAUGUUACUCAAUCCGUCGACUUGUCUCCUGAGCAACAAGAACAAAAAAAAAGAAAUGGAACGCACACUGAUCUCAUCGUCGCCAUUCAGGUUCCACCCUUUGACGACGUCACACAGAAUCGCCACCAUAACUAAGAGGAGAAAACAAACCACCGUGUGUUGCGACUACUACUACCAAGGAGGACGAGUGGUGGACGAGAACAUGGUGGUUCUUAGGAAACGGAUCCAUGAGAUGAAGAUGGUUGAACGAAACUACGAACCUCCUUCCCACUGGAUGCAGUGGGAGAAACGUUUCUACUGCAGCUACGACGCUACUAUAUGUGACGCUCUCUGUAUCCUCCAGACUUUCCUCAUGAACUCUCGUCCCAGCGUGGCGUUUGGAACAUUGUUUCUCAUCUUUGUCAGCGUUCCCGUCUCCACUGCUUUCUUUGCGUUUCGCAUCUUUGA